Long non-coding RNA from Gopherus evgoodei (Goodes thornscrub tortoise), 143 nucleotides. RefSeq lists it as uncharacterized. Lineage: Eukaryota; Metazoa; Chordata; Testudines; Testudinidae. The transcript is spliced from 3 exons. The record is from RefSeq and is a predicted model, not a curated record.
ACCCUCCUAGUGAAAAACUGUUUCCUAAUAUCCAACCUAGACUUCUCCAACUGCAACUUGAUACCAUUGCAUCUCAUUCUGCCAUCUGCCACCACUGAGAACAGCCUAGCUUCAUCUUCCUUGGAACCCCCCUUCAGGUAGUU